This 304-nucleotide ribosomal RNA is filed under the name Klebsiella michiganensis. RNAcentral describes it as "bacterial SSU rRNA". It matches the Rfam family "Bacterial small subunit ribosomal RNA", at positions 135 to 441 of the family's 1533-position model. The record is from RNAcentral. Lineage: Bacteria; Pseudomonadati; Pseudomonadota; Gammaproteobacteria; Enterobacterales; Enterobacteriaceae.
GGAGGGGGAUAACUACUGGAAACGGUAGCUAAUACCGCAUAACGUCGCAAGACCAAAGAGGGGGACCUUCGGGCCUCUUGCCAUCAGAUGUGCCCAGAUGGGAUUAGCUAGUAGGUGGGGUAACGGCUCACCUAGGCGACGAUCCCUAGCUGGUCUGAGAGGAUGACCAGCCACACUGGAACUGAGACACGGUCCAGACUCCUACGGGAGGCAGCAGUGGGGAAUAUUGCACAAUGGGCGCAAGCCUGAUGCAGCCAUGCCGCGUGUAUGAAGAAGGCCUUCGGGUUGUAAAGUACUUUCAGCG